GAGUUUGAUCCUGGCUCAGAACGAACGCUGGCGGCAGGCCUAACACAUGCAAGUCGAGCGCGCCUUCGGGUGAGCGGCGGACGGGUUAGUAACGCGUGGGAACGUGCCCUUUUCUACGGAAUAGCCUCUGGAAACGGAGAGUAAUACCGUAUACGCCCUUUGGGGGAAAGAUUUAUCGGAGAAGGAUCGGCCCGCGUUAGAUUAGGUAGUUGGUGGGGUAACGGCCUACCAAGCCUACGAUCUAUAGCUGGUUUUAGAGGAUGAUCAGCAACACUGGGACUGAGACACGGCCCAGACUCCUACGGGAGGCAGCAGUGGGGAAUCUUAGACAAUGGGGGCAACCCUGAUCUAGCCAUGCCGCGUGAGUGAUGAAGGCCUUAGGGUCGUAAAGCUCUUUCAGAAGUGAAGAUGAUGACUGUAACUUCAGAAGAAGCUCCGGCUAACUCCGUGCCAGCAGCCGCGGUAAUACGUAGGGAGCUAGCGUUGUUCGGAAUUACUGGGCGUAAAGGGCGUGUAGGCUGUUAGGUAAGUCAGAGGUGAAAUCCCUAA
This 549-nucleotide ribosomal RNA is filed under the name uncultured bacterium. RNAcentral describes it as "bacterial SSU rRNA". It matches the Rfam family "Bacterial small subunit ribosomal RNA", at positions 9 to 606 of the family's 1533-position model. The record is from RNAcentral.